UAGAGAUUGUAUAUCCCAGCAGCUGACGCUGCUUCUGGCUCUUAGUAGGGCUCACAGCAUUUAAUUUGUGGCUUGAGGAUAAAAAUAGUAAUAGUUACAUUUAUUGAGCAUUGCCUCAAGCAGCUACUGCCCUGGACUUUCUCGGUGUGUUUCCUCAUUUAAGCCUUACGCCAGCCCCGUGAGGAAGGUGCUGCUUACACUCCUGACUUACAGAUUCCCAAGUAGGACUCAGGCAUGGCGAGAUCCAGCAAGGAAUGGGCUGGAAUGAUCUGACACCAGUGCCCCUGCUGGAACCAGGAGGAGUGCUAACUCAGACUGCACGCUGAUGGCAUCUCCCAGCAAGGAAGAUAUCGUCUGCACAGGACUGACGAAGCAUGCUCCAAGCAUGUCCCCACCAGGCCCAGGACACCCUCCAGGGGCAAGACUCUCCCUGGAGAAGGUCAGAGCUCACAGGCAGAAGGCGCUGGGGCUACAGGUUUCUGCUGCCUGUGGCUCCUUAUCAAGGGCUGCAACUCCAGAGCAGAGCAAGACAACCUUACUAUGCCCCCCUUGGGGUGGGAAUAACUCGGCGGCUGCCAGCGGAGGAUAGUUGGCGAUUUGUACAAGGCGGGCGUGGGGUUUAGAGCUGUGAGGCUGGCUGAGGCCAUGGCUCUGCCAUCCUCUCUGUCCUGCUCGUCUGUCCUGGCCACUCUUCUCUGAGGGGUCAGUCAUGGCCCAGAAGGCCCCAGCUGGCUGCAAACAGCCUGUCCCAUGAUUGAGUUUGUACCUCAAAUCUGCUAAUUUUGAUGGAAAUCCUUCUAAGAUCCCAUUGGUCCUCCCUUUCCACGCAUGUGGGCUGUUGGAAAUAAUGGGGCCAGGACCAGACAGCCCUUUGCCAGUCCUAGGGGCCCUGCAGGGUGGUGAAGCCUCAUCCUGUGGGUGUCACCCCCACAUCUAGGAUGUCGACAGGGUGUGGGGCUGACCUGCCCUUCUCGCCCAUCUUGAGGGUGAGUGAUAUGCCCUCUCUCUGCUCCCUAUACGUGGAGAAGACCGUCUGUCUUCUCUCCCUGGAGUUUGCCUUGGUGCCCUGAGCUGGGAGGUUGAGGGGGGUCCGGAUUGCUUCCCAGGAAAGGCACUGUCGGUCGGCCCAGCCCACAGGGCAUAGCACCUGUUUUAAAGAGACGAGGAGAGGCCGGGACUCCUCUGCCUUGUCCUGGCUCCUUCUUUCCCUUCCAAAGAUGCGCCUUCUUCCCUCCAGGGACUUGGGGCCUUUGUGGGCCCUCCCCACCCCUGCCGUCUGCCCUCUGUCCACCCCGCUCCAGAACACUGCCCAGGGUGAAUGUCGGACUCUUGUCUGUUCCUCUUCAUCUCCUGAAACCAAAAUAAACUGAUAUACGAGGCAGCCAGGGCCGGGGGCCAGGAGCCGAGGCCGCAGGGCACUGCUUUUAGCAGGUGGUGUCCCAGCGCUGGGUCUGAGCCGUCCCAGGACUUGGCACUGACCCACAACCCAGCUCCACCCCACCCUCAACUGGCUCUUCCUCUCCCCUCUCUCUCUCUCCUUCCUGGAAGAGAUGUCAUUGUCAUAAGGAAAAUGUGCUGGUAUUGGCAUCCUCUCUGGGCCCCACGAGGUGUGGGACGCUAUGAAUGCCUCCCCAGCACACACACACACACACCUUUAUUCACGGGAAUUCAGAUUAAAACAAACAUGGAGGGAAGCUUGGAAGGGAGAGGCCAGGUAUGUGUGUGUGUUUGUGUGUGUGUGGCCAAGAGCCAGGCUGAGGCUGGCAGACAGUGCCAUGGCCCUCCCCAGUUCAGCCCCAGGAGCUGUGAGCACAUACAUUCAACAGCUAUUUAAGAGCACCCACUGUGUGCCAGGCACUGUUGUAGGCACUGACACACAGCAGUGAAAAGAAAGACUAUUCUAGAUGGGAGAGACGUGCAAUAAACAAAAUACAAAUAUAUGAUGGGUAAGGGGGAUGAUGAGUGCUGUGGAGAAAAAUAAAGCAGGAUAUGAGGCUGGAGAGUGGGGAGGAGAGAGUCUAUUUAGGAUCCAGAGAGUAGGGUCCCCCUGGGCCAUGCAUGAGCCCUGCAGGCUUUCUCUGGGUGGUCACAUCCUGCUUGCUGCUCCCCCCCAGCUGUUUGGUUUCUGCCUCUGCCUAUUUCUGUCCCGUAAAACCCUCCCGGGGGACUGUUCCUCAGGACCAGCUCUGGGGCCUUGUAGGAGGGCUCCAGAGAUCACUGAGGCCGGGGCUUCUCAGAUGCUUGACGCAAUUUGACGUUCAAAUUAAAACUGCAAUGAGAUACCACUCAGGCCCACCAGAAUGGAUAAUAUGAAAAAAGAUGGAAAAUACCAAGUGUUGGGCAGGAUACGGAGCAGCUGGAACUCUUGCGCGCAGCUGGCAGGAAUGUAAAUUGGUACAACACCUUUGGGAAAUUGUGUGGCAUUUACUCCAGCUGAGCAUAUACCCGCCCUAUGACCCAGCGAUUCCCAUCUUGGGUGUAUACCCCACAGAAACGGGCGCGCAGAUCCACCAAAUUAAUGUUCUAAAAUAUUCAUAGCUACACUCUUCAGCAUUGCCCCAAACCGGGACCCACCCAAAUGUCCACCAACAGUAGGAUGGAUAAACUGUGAUGUAUUUGUAGUGUGGAAUACUAUGCAGCCGCGAGAAGGAACAAUCUGCAACUACAUGAAACGAUAUGGGUGGAUCUCACAGUAAACUGAUGAACGAAAGAGGACACAGGUGUGGCUCUACUCACGUGAAGUUCAGAACAAUCUGUGCCGCUGGAGGGC
This 2770-nucleotide long non-coding RNA is filed under the name Equus asinus (donkey). RNAcentral describes it as "lncRNA (ENSEASG00005033058.1)". Lineage: Eukaryota; Metazoa; Chordata; Mammalia; Perissodactyla; Equidae. The record is from RNAcentral.